CUUCUACCAACAGAUACAUUUGUGCCAAAAUACAGAAAUACAGUUUGAUUGGAUGGAACCUUUACAUGAACAACAAAAUAUGGCAAGUGUUUUCUAAACAUUUUAAAAGUUUAUAAAACUAUUUAUUUUGCUAUCUAUGAUUAUUAUUUGCACUUACAUUAUUUGCAUUUGUUUUUUUCAGAACAGAACUAUGACCCUUUUUUGUGUCCCGACCCACCAGUUGCACAACAGUUACAGGUGAGAGAGAGAGUCGCUUUGUGAUUGGCUGCCCUUCUGCUCCAUAUUCAGAGGUGCUGGAUGAGGCAGAGUGCCCGCAGGGAAAAUGGCGUUGUAAUCAGGAGCCGGCUGUGCUGCCUGAUCAGGUCUUGUACCACCAUGAUGGCACAGUUACUGGUCCACCCCACUUCUAUAUUUAAAUGGAUUGAGCUCAACAAAACAGGGACACUGAGCCCCCCUCUUACCGGGAUCAUCUGUCUGCCUGGUGGACGAGCUGCGUCCUGCCCACUGCACCCAAUUCACAUAGAAAUUUACUCAAAUACUACAGAGGGUUUCAGGAGGAAGGAUUGCUGGAAGAGAUCAGCGGGACUCACUGAGUGGGCAGAGAAAAAUAGCCAGGCCAGUGAAGAUGGAUGGGUGACAGUCCCAUUGGUCACAGCGAUUCAGCACUCAGUCACCACGGAGACAAGCAGUGAAACCAGGAUUGCUGAAAGCCAAAUGAUUUGUGCUGUGAAAAAAAUUUAUAUUUUAGAUCAUUUUCUUAAACAUAAUUUAAUUUAUCAUGUAAAGUAAUGGAGCUUAAGCACAUUAAAUAAAUGCUCACCAUCAAAAUGGUGAUGUGAUAAGUUAUUUAAGCUAAAUUUGCAACCCUGUUUUUUAAUUGAAAAUUUAAAAAUGUUAUGCUAAUUUAGUGUUUAUAUCGAUUUAACAUUUUACAGGCUAUAUUUAGUAAAUUAAUUAAUGAAUUAAUUGGUUUGUGUGUUUAUUUGACUGGAAAAUAACAAUCAGGUUUUAAACUUUAUUUACCCUUUGUAUUGGUAUAUGUUGCAAAAUUUCAAAUCUCAUUUAAAAUGAAUGAAAAAAUAAUAAUAAAUAAAUAAAACAAUUCAUUUAAAAUCAACUUUGACAUCCUAAAGUAUACAAACAACAUUUUCUUAUGUUAAACUCCUUUCACUGACCAUCAGUUCAAAAAGAAAAAAAAGUGACACGUUUUUAAGCCUUUCAGGUUUUAUUUUGAAUGCCUUUUUUUUUUUUUUUUUACAGAAAAGGAAAUAAUUUAAUUAAUCUAUCUCUUCUAUUCAGAUCCAAAAAUGAGAUCUUGUCUACUUCCUCUGGAAUAAAUAAGCAAUGCAUGUACUGGUUUAGUAUCUCUUUGUUGAGUUGCUCUAUCCUGUGCCCGUUUACUGGGCAGUGUGUUUGAAAAGAGUGAACAAUGACAGUCCACAAUGAAAGUGCUCAAUUAACUGUAUAACCCAGGCAUCAAUUAAGACAUCAAUUACCAGGUUGAUUGAUGGGGUUAAAUGAUGGGAUUCAUUUUCUCCAUCCAGCAGAAAAACACUGGAAGUCGCAGUAUGUGAAAAUGAGCUGAUGAAUGUUAUAUCCAGUCCACCUUGCACCUAAUGCAAAUACAUAUAUUUUUUAAACUCUUCCUUUUAACUGCAUUUAAAAUAAAUAAAUAAAAUUAGACAUAUUUUUAAUUGUGAAAAACUGUAUAACCUAUAAAGUGUAAAUUACAUUCUUGAACACAUUUUACAUAUGUAUGUUGUAUCAUUCCAUUUUAGAAAAAAAUUAUUCACAUUUGAUCACAUGUGAAAUAAUAGAGUCGCCGAGGCUAUAUAAUGUUGUAUUAUUUAUUGUAUAAUAUUGUUAAGAUGAUAUUGUAUUUUUUUCAAGCAAUCCUACUCAAAACUUCAUAAUCUAACUCAAUAUGCUUAAGGUUCUGUAAUAAAAAAGACCUUUUCCACUUUAGCAGUUACUCAGAUGUACAAUAUACCUUGCACACUGAUUUCAAAGGGAAUGGCUAGGCUACAAAAAUGAUUUAUGUAUUUGUGCAUUACAUUUUUUUACAAUUAGUAGAAAGGUAUUUAGAUGAUAAAGCCAAUUGUUGUACGAGCAUUUGAAGUGCUUCUAUUUUCUAUACAGAAAAAAAUAGUUUGUUUCUGAAGAUUCUUUUGUAACCAACUUGACAAUAUAAUUUCAUUAUAAAUGCAAUAUAAAUUACUUUUUGUUGAAUCACACAAGCUGAUAUAAUUCACUUUAUUCUUUACAUUUAUUUUGUAUGUCUC
Cyprinus carpio carpio is the source of this 2282-nucleotide long non-coding RNA. The record is from Ensembl. NCBI's taxonomy places the organism in Eukaryota, Metazoa, Chordata, Actinopteri, Cypriniformes, Cyprinidae.